RNAcentral lists this ribosomal RNA (460 nucleotides) under uncultured bacterium. RNAcentral's name for it is "partial 16S ribosomal RNA". It matches the Rfam family "Bacterial small subunit ribosomal RNA", at positions 338 to 795 of the family's 1533-position model. The record is from RNAcentral.
CCUACGGGUGGCAGCAGGGAGGAAUAGUGGGCAAUGGCCGGAAGGCUGAACCAGCCAAGUAGCGGGAGGGAAGACUGCCCGAUGGGUUGUAAACCGCUGUUAUGCGGGGAUAAAGGUGUCCACGUGUGGAUGUUUGCAGGUACCGCAUGAAUAAGGACCGGCUAAUUCCGUGCCAGCAGCCGCGGUAAUACGGAAGGUCCGGGCGUUAUCCGGAUUUAUUGGGUUUAAAGGGAGCGUAGGCCGGUCUUUAAGCGUGCCGUGAAAUUUUGUGGCUCAACCAUGAGAGUGCGGCGCGAACUGGCGCCCUUGAGUGCGCGAGUGGCAGGCGGAAUUCGUGGUGUAGCGGUGAAAUGCUUAGAUCUCACGAAGAACCCCGAUUGCGAAGGCAGCCUGCCGCAGCGUUCCUGACGCUGAAGCUCGAAAGCGCGGGUAUCGAACAGGAUUAGAUACCCCUGUAGUC